Molecule: small nuclear RNA, 183 nt
Organism: Anolis carolinensis (green anole)
Lineage: Eukaryota; Metazoa; Chordata; Lepidosauria; Squamata; Anolidae
Product: U2 spliceosomal RNA
Exons: 1
Source: RefSeq, a predicted model, not a curated record
AUCGCUUCUCGGCCUUUUGGCUAAGAGCAAGUGUAGUAUCUAUAAUGUAUAGAAAAAUCACAAAGUUAAAAACUUAGCAUUGUACUAAAUUUCCUUUGACCAGAAGCUGGCCACUUGGGGUCAGGCAUGUAGUGGGGUGGGGGGUGGGGCUCGAGGGGUUUCAGCUCCCCCCCCCCCCCGAAA